Molecule: long non-coding RNA, 1134 nt
Filed under: Marmota monax (woodchuck)
Lineage: Eukaryota; Metazoa; Chordata; Mammalia; Rodentia; Sciuridae
Source: RNAcentral
CGUGCACGUGUGCGUAAGCAUGCACAUUUGUGAAUAUGCACAUGCGUAAGCAUGCACGUGUGCACCAGUGUAUAAAUGUAAGUGCACCUGUGUGAGUGGGUGUGUGUGCGCACAUGUAUAAAUGUGUUUGAGUGCAUAUGUGUACCUGAGUACACAUGUAUAAAGUGUGAAUGUGAGUGCAUGUGAACACGUGUAGGCAUGAUGUAUGUGUGAGUGUACCUGUGUGCAUGAGUGUGCAUAGAUGAGUGUGACUAAGUGUGAGCAUGUGAGUACUUGUAUGAGUGCAUGUGUCUGUGUGUGAGAGUGCACUUGUGUUCCCCUCGGCUGCCAGGCUGACUGCCCAGCUCUGCAUCCUGCCGUGUUGUGUUACACAAUGGUAGAUGGUGUGGCUUCUUUCCCAUGUCAGUCCUCAUCCCUUGUUGGGGGCUGUCAGCCUGGAUCUUUCUCCUGGCCUCUCCCCCACCUUCGGACUCUACUGUGCACAUUCUAGCAGAAGAGAAGUCAGGGUCCUGGAGAGCAGAGCCAACCUUCCAGUGGCCUUCAGUGUACCUCUCCCAGCCCCUGUGAUGAGACAGUGGGGCCACAGAUGCUGCAUAUUCAGCCCACCCAGGUGCCAGGGCUCUUUAAAACCGUGCAGGUGAAACGUUCUUGGACAUUCAAAGGAGGCGGCAACCAGCAGGGGCAAAGGUAAAUUCUCACUGCAAAGACAGCAGGAAUGUCCAGCUAUUGGUGCUCUGGCUCCUGAAGUCCAGGGGAGCCAGUGGGAAGGGGGCAGCCUGGCGUCUGGGGCCCAGAAGAUGGACAGAAAGGGGCUGCCUACCUCACCUGGCAGGAGGUGCUAGAAGUGGACAUGAAACACCAGCCGCUGUAGGUAGCUUUCUGGAACCAAAGAGGGGCCUGGUUUUCUCCUGGACGUGGGAGCAGCAGAGGGAGCAAACACCUACCCAGAGAGCUGGAGAGGGUGGCCCAGCCCUUGAGGGCUCAAGGGUCUGGGUCACAGGGAGUCCUGGUGCAAGGAGCUCCCUGGAGAGCUGUAGUGCAGUGGGCUCUGUUAUGGCCCCUGAAUCCUGGCCAUGACCGGUGCAGCCCUGGCCCACUGUUGGCUGAGAAUUGAGUCUGAUCAUGCACCUCCGG